Molecule: ribosomal RNA, 218 nt
Filed under: uncultured bacterium
Lineage: Bacteria
Description: partial 16S ribosomal RNA
Rfam family: Bacterial small subunit ribosomal RNA
Source: RNAcentral
ACGUCUCAGUUCGGAUUGUAGUCUGCAACUCGACUACAUGAAGCUGGAAUCGCUAGUAAUCGCGAAUCAGAAUGUCGCGGUGAAUACGUUCUCGGGUCUUGUACACACCGCCCGUCACACCAUGGGAGUCAGCAACGCCCGAAGCCGGUGACCCAACCGAAAGGAGGGAGCCGUCGAAGGUGGGGCCGAUAACUGGGGUGAAGUCGUAACAAGGUAUC